CGCUCUACACCCCUAUCCACGGCAGCACACAGGCAACCAACGAGUAAGAAAUACAAACAAUAGCCAAAAUACCACUAGUGAGAACCGAACUUGCCAAAAUACCACUAUAAAAAGGCAACUUGCCAAUAUACAACUAGUGCCUAACUGGAACUAACACCAUCCAAACAAGACUUAUAUGCCCUUGCAACAUUUCAGGAGCAAAUUGACAUGAAAACAACAUCGUCUCAACAUGAUAUCACUUUGCGUUAUUCAACAACACAAUAUUGUAA
Molecule: long non-coding RNA, 269 nt
Filed under: Hordeum vulgare
Lineage: Eukaryota; Viridiplantae; Streptophyta; Magnoliopsida; Poales; Poaceae
Description: long non-coding RNA (HVUL_LNC019217)
Source: RNAcentral